CGUCCCGCCGGCGACCGGCGCACGGGUGAGUAACACGUAUGCAACCUGGCCGCCACAGGGGGAUAACCCGCGGAAACGCGGCCUAAUACCCCGUGACGCCACCGGAGGGCAUCCUCCGGUGGCCAAAGGAGCGAUCCGGUGGCGGAUGGGCAUGCGGCGCAUUAGCUAGACGGCGGGGUGACGGCCCACCGUGGCGACGAUGCGUAGGGGUUCUGAGAGGAAGGCCCCCCACACUGGGACUGAGACACGGUCCAAACUCCUACGGAAGGCAGCAG
Molecule: ribosomal RNA, 275 nt
Filed under: uncultured bacterium
Lineage: Bacteria
Description: partial 16S ribosomal RNA
Rfam family: Bacterial small subunit ribosomal RNA
Source: RNAcentral